GUGACAGCCGCCGCGGUAAUACGUAGGGGGCAAGCGUUGUCCGGAAUUAUUGGGCGUAAAGCGCGCGCAGGCGGUUGAUUAAGUUUGGUGUUUAAGCCCGGGGCUCAACCCCGGAUCGCACUGAAAACUGGUCGACUUGAGUGUAGGAGAGGAAAGUGGAAUUCCACGUGUAGCGGUGAAAUGCGUAGAGAUGUGGAGGAACACCAGUGGCGAAGGCGACUUUCUGGCCUAUAACUGACGCUGAGGCGCGAAAGCGUGGGGAGCAAACAGGAUUAGAUACCCGAGUAGUCC
RNAcentral lists this ribosomal RNA (291 nucleotides) under uncultured bacterium. RNAcentral's name for it is "partial 16S ribosomal RNA". It matches the Rfam family "Bacterial small subunit ribosomal RNA", at positions 505 to 796 of the family's 1533-position model. The record is from RNAcentral.